GAGGGAGGUACAGUGCUGUACUUGAGCGCCGCUCGGCUUGGAGAUUGUCUUCUCGUUUUCGGACGUCCCAACCUAUUUAUCGAGCCUUUUUUCUCAUCAAUACAUCAGAGAAGAACUUUGCCACGGUAGAGAUGACUCGCAUGUAACGACGACGGCCCUUUUGCAGUUUUUCCGCUCAGUUGUGAAUUGAACCCCAGUGAGUUAUUUGCUCAAUUUGAUUGAAAUAGAUUGAAAAACAAAACAAAAACUCUAAAGAGCCACACGUGCAUCUCAAAGCGAAUGUACGGCGAUAACUUGAACAGCAAAGUCGGACGAGUUGACUCGUUCUAAGCAGGACUGGGAUGGAAUGAUAAUGAAAAUAGUUUGAAUGGUGUGAACUGAAUGAAAAGCUUGUUGUACAGUUUUGUGUUGAAAGACCAAUUGUUUAUUUUGGGCGCAUCUUUGCUCCAAGAAAGAUAUUUGAUUUUGAUUUGCUCGACUGAUAUGCACACGACGAUGGCUGCUUGUGGGCGGGGCCUGCUUCUUCUAAUCCACACAUUUAAUCAAAAUUUUGUAUUCCAUUUAUUCUCACUAGCGUUGGUUCUGCAUGGCAUUUUCUGACCUCACAAUUGAUUCUUUUCCAGUAUUGGCAUAAACAUUAUUAUUAUUAUUAUGAAGAUGAAUCUUAUUGUUUCAACUAUUAAAUGAUUGUUUGGAGUGUUUCAUAUCCGGGCUUAUUUUGGUAUCGCUGCUGAAGAUGACUUGAAGUGCUUUAUUUGGAAGAUGAUGCUGUUUCUCUUGUUGGAAUGCAUGUUUCCUCUUUUUCCAUUGUCACAAUCAUCCAUACUUAUUUCUGCUUUCUGGUCCCGGGAAUCUACAAAUAUGGACAGUCUAUUAAUACUUCAUUUUAAAUAAAAGUGACACGCUGAAAUUCUUGUAUGAAGUGCAUCUUCUGUCCAUCACCCACGAUCAUGGUGCUGGUAGCUUGUGAGCAAAAUGCUCGGGCGUAUCAAUGCGAGCUUAUUUAAUUUUAGGGGACAAAAGUAUUUGCAGCGCUCAUUUAGGAAGUGAAAGAACGAUGAUGAAUUUGCCCGCAUGAAUCACGACAGGGAAUUUCCAGGAAACUGUUUCAGUUUUUUUAUUAUUAUUUAGUAUCAAUAUAAAUGGCAUUUUUUCAAUAAGAAAGUCAAUAUAGUUGAAUGUGUGCUUUCUUGUUUGAAAUGAAUUUACGUUGACGUUGAAGCGGUGGGGUCGCGUACGUCAUGACAUUUUCAUGACGCAAUACGUAUUACACUUGCCUGAACGCAGAAGUGAGCGGCGGCGGCGGCAGAAAAAAGCGAAGCGACUUGUUUGGACUUGUUGGCCGGUUAAAAAAAAGCCUUCAUUAUUCUCAGAGCUAAUGGCAAACGGACGCGUUGAAAUUCAUGACCCUUUGGCCAACCUCAACGACCUCAGCCGGCCAGACAGCCCUGUCACUAAAGAGGAAGAACCUAGAUAAAAGGAAAAGUCAUAAACUCGUAAAGACAAGGCCUCCAGGUCUGUCAGGCCAAGGCUUUACUUCAAUUAUUCGAACAUUUCCCUCCUGUUUAUCACACAUUUGCUAAAUUUUUACAUGACCAAAAACGACCACUUCUCUCGAUUUUCAGUUGUCGGAUCACAAGUAUGAGCGCAAAUAUGUUCACGCCAAAAAGGACAAAUGUUGCGAUAUCAUCAAGCGUUUGGCAUGCAUUGACCACUUACUUCAUUAAGGCAACAUUUGUUAUUUCAAAGUGCACAACAAAUACAAAUAUCAUCAGAUCAUCAAGUUAUUCUCAAAACAUUUCUCAUGACCACAUAGUCCAUCACAUCUC
This is a long non-coding RNA of Syngnathus acus (greater pipefish), 1829 nucleotides long. RefSeq lists it as uncharacterized. The transcript is spliced from 2 exons. Lineage: Eukaryota; Metazoa; Chordata; Actinopteri; Syngnathiformes; Syngnathidae. The record is from RefSeq and is a predicted model, not a curated record.